CCUACGGGAGACUGCAGUGAGGAAUAUUGGUCAAUGGACGAGAGUCUGAACCAGCAAAGUAGCGUGAAGGAUGACUGCCCUAUGGGUUGUAAACUUCUUUUAUAUGGGAAUAAAAUGUUCCACGUGUGGGAUUUUGUAUGUACCAUAUGAAUAAGGAUCGGCUAACUCCGUGCCAGCAGCCGCGGUAAUACGGAGGAUCCGAGCGUUAUCCGGAUUUAUUGGGUUUAAAGGGAGCGUAGGUGGAUUGUUAAGUCAGUUGUGAAAGUUUGCGGCUCAACCGUAAAAUUGCAGUUGAAACUGGCAGUCUUGAGUACAGUAGAGGUGGGCGGAAUUCGUGGUGUAGCGGUGAAAUGCUUAGAUAUCACGAAGAACUCCGAUUGCGAAGGCAGUUCACUGGACUGCAACUGACACUGAGGCUCGAAAGUGUGGGUAUCAAACAGGAUUAGAUACCCGAGUAGUC
This 460-nucleotide ribosomal RNA is filed under the name uncultured bacterium. RNAcentral's name for it is "partial 16S ribosomal RNA". It matches the Rfam family "Bacterial small subunit ribosomal RNA", at positions 338 to 795 of the family's 1533-position model. The record is from RNAcentral.